RNAcentral lists this ribosomal RNA (402 nucleotides) under uncultured bacterium. Its description in RNAcentral is "bacterial SSU rRNA". It matches the Rfam family "Bacterial small subunit ribosomal RNA", at positions 355 to 774 of the family's 1533-position model. The record is from RNAcentral.
UGGGGAAUAUUGGACAAUGGGCGAAAGCCUGAUCCAGCCAUGCCGCGUGAGUGAAGAAGGCCUUCGGGUUGUAAAGCUCUUUCGGCGGGGACGAUGAUGACGGUACCCGCAUAAGAAGCCCCGGCAAACUUCGUGCCAGCAGCCGCGGUAAUACGAAGGGGGCUAGCGUUGUUCGGAAUUACUGGGCGUAAAGCGAACGUAGGCGGUGUUCCAUGUCAGAGGUGAAAGCCUGGGGCUCAACUCCAGAAUUGCCUUUGAAACGGGAACGCUUGAGUCCGAGAGAGGAUGGCGGAAUUCCUAGUGUAGAGGUGAAAUUCGUAGAUAUUAGGAAGAACACCGGUGGCGAAGGCGGCCAUCUGGCUCGGUACUGACGCUCAGGUUCGAAAGCGUGGGGAGCAAACA